RNAcentral lists this non-coding RNA (26 nucleotides) under Mus musculus (house mouse). The record is from RNAcentral. Lineage: Eukaryota; Metazoa; Chordata; Mammalia; Rodentia; Muridae.
UGCCACACUCACCAACUGCUCAUUGC